Molecule: long non-coding RNA, 703 nt
Filed under: Homo sapiens (human)
Lineage: Eukaryota; Metazoa; Chordata; Mammalia; Primates; Hominidae
Description: HSALNT0179698
Source: RNAcentral
GUAACUAUAGCCUCGUAGUAUAGUUUGAAGUCAGGUAACAUGUCUUUGGAUUUGUUCUUUCAGCUUAGACUUACUUCGGCUACGCAGGGAACAUGGGCACUGUUGGAAAAGGAGAUUCAGAGAAGCUCUUUUGUGAAGAUCAUAGAAGACAGUUUGUAAAGAUAUUUGAGAUAAAUAGAAGAAGCUCUGGGAACAAUCUGUCUUAGUCUAUUUAUGCAGUGAAGGUGUCUGAAAGUCAGUGACUAAAUUUAAUGCAGUAUUUUCUGAGCACCUACUAUGGACUAGGCGCUGGGUGUACAACAAGGAAUGAAAAGCCAAUGGUCCCUGCUAUAAUGAAACUUACUUAGUGAUAUGGUUUGGAUUUAUGCCCCCAUCCAAAUCUCACAUUCAAUUGUAAUCCCCAAUGUUUAAGGUGGGGCCUGGCGGGAGGUAAUUGGAUCAUGGGGUGGUUUCUCAUGAAUGGUUAGGCACUAUCUCCUUGGUGCUAAGUUCUCCUGAGAUCUGAUUGUUUAAAAGUGUGUAUUUCCUUCCCCACUUCUCUCUUCUUCCUGCUCCAGCCAUGUAAGACAUGCCUGCUUCCCCUUCCUUUUCCACUACGACUGAGAGUUUCCUGAGGCCUCCUCAGAAGCUGAGCAGAUGCUUCCACUCUUCCUGUACAGCCUGCAGAACCAUAAGCCAAUUAAACCUCUUUUCUUGAUAAAUU